AAGGGUAUAGCUCAACUGGUAGAGUUCUUGCUUAGUAUGCAUGAGGUCCUGGGUUCAAUUCCCAGUACCUCCA
RNAcentral lists this transfer RNA (73 nucleotides) under Camelus bactrianus (Bactrian camel). It matches the Rfam family "tRNA". From Rfam's summary of the family: Transfer RNA (tRNA) molecules are approximately 80 nucleotides in length. The record is from Rfam by way of RNAcentral. RNAcentral also lists the same sequence under 2 other names. Lineage: Eukaryota; Metazoa; Chordata; Mammalia; Artiodactyla; Camelidae.